GAUGAACGCUGGCGGCGUGUCUAACACAUGCAAGUCGAGCGAGGGUUUGCUCAGUAUUGAGUAUUCUAAGUCUAGAAUGUUCAAUUCUGAGCAAAACCAAGCGGCGGACGGGUGAGUAACGCGUGGGUAACCUGCCCUAUACACAUGGAUAACAUACUGAAAAGUUUACUAAUACAUGAUAAUAUAUAUUUGCGGCAUCGCAGAUAUAUCAAAGUGUUAGCGGUAUAGGAUGGACCCGCGUCUGAUUAGCUAGUUGGUGAGAUAACUGCCCACCAAGGCGACGAUCAGUAGCCGACCUGAGAGGGUGAUCGGCCACAUUGGAACUGAGACACGGUCCAAACUCCUACGGGAGGCAGCAGUGGGGAAUAUUGCACAAUGGGCGAAAGCCUGAUGCAGCAACGCCGCGUGAACGAUGAAGGUCUUCGGAUCGUAAAGUUCUGUUGCAGGGGAAGAUAAUGACGGUACCCUGUGAGGAAGCCCCGGCUAACUACGUGCCAGCAGCCGCGGUAAUACGUAGGGGGCUAGCGUUAUCCGGAUUUACUGGGCGUAAAGGGUGCGUAGGUGGUCCUUCAAGUCGGUGGUUAAAGGCUACGGCUCAACCGUAGUAAGCCGCCGAAACUGGAGGACUUGAGUGCAGGAGAGGAAAGUGGAAUUCCCAGUGUAGCGGUGAAAUGCGUAGAUAUUGGGAGGAACACCAGUAGCGAAGGCGGCUUUCUGGACUGCAACUGACACUGAGGCACGAAAGCGUGGGUAGCAAACAGG
RNAcentral lists this ribosomal RNA (762 nucleotides) under uncultured Peptostreptococcus sp. RNAcentral describes it as "bacterial SSU rRNA". It matches the Rfam family "Bacterial small subunit ribosomal RNA", at positions 28 to 776 of the family's 1533-position model. The record is from RNAcentral. Lineage: Bacteria; Bacillati; Bacillota; Clostridia; Peptostreptococcales; Peptostreptococcaceae.